This 402-nucleotide ribosomal RNA is filed under the name uncultured bacterium. Its description in RNAcentral is "bacterial SSU rRNA". It matches the Rfam family "Bacterial small subunit ribosomal RNA", at positions 355 to 774 of the family's 1533-position model. The record is from RNAcentral.
UGGGGAAUCUUGGACAAUGGGGGCAACCCUGAUCCAGCCAUGCCGCGUGAGCGAUGAAGGCCUUAGGGUUGUAAAGCUCUUUCAGCGGGGAAGAUAAUGACGGUACCCGCAGAAGAAGCCCCGGCUAACUCCGUGCCAGCAGCCGCGGUAAUACGGAGGGGGCUAGCGUUGUUCGGAAUUACUGGGCGUAAAGCGCACGUAGGCGGACCAUCAAGUUGGGGGUGAAAUCCCGGGGCUCAACCCCGGAACUGCCUCCAAAACUGCUGGUCUGGAGGUCGAGAGAGGUGAGUGGAAUUCCGAGUGUAGAGGUGAAAUUCGUAGAUAUUCGGAGGAACACCAGUGGCGAAGGCGGCUCACUGGCUCGAUACUGACGCUGAGGUGCGAAAGCGUGGGGAGCAAACA